AGUGAACGCUGGCGGUAGGCCUAACACAUGCAAGUCGAACGGCAGCACAGUAAGAGCUUGCUCUUACGGGUGGCGAGUGGCGGACGGGUGAGGAAUACAUCGGAAUCUACUUUUUCGUGGGGGAUAACGUAGGGAAACUUACGCUAAUACCGCAUACGACCUACGGGUGAAAGCAGGGGAUCUUCGGACCUUGCGCGAUUGAAUGAGCCGAUGUCGGAUUAGCUAGUUGGCGGGGUAAAGGCCCACCAAGGCGACGAUCCGUAGCUGGUCUGAGAGGAUGAUCAGCCACACUGGAGCUGAGACACGGUCCAGACUACUACGGGAGGCAGCAGUGGGGAAUAUUGGACAAUGGGCGCAAGCCUGAUCCAGCCAUACCGCGUGGGUGAAGAAGGCCUUCGGGUUGUAAAGCCCUUUUGUUGGGAAAGAAAAGCAGCAGGUUAAUACCCCGCUGUUCUGACGGUACCCAAAGAAUAAGCACCGGCUAACUUCGUG
Molecule: ribosomal RNA, 492 nt
Filed under: uncultured bacterium
Lineage: Bacteria
Description: partial 16S ribosomal RNA
Rfam family: Bacterial small subunit ribosomal RNA
Source: RNAcentral